UUAUCCGUGCCAAAGAUGGGCAUACCGGCUGUUAGAACCGUAAAUGAUGCAGAAAUGAGUCAUAGUACAGUGGAUUCUGCAGCAGGAGCUGCAGCUGUUCUGAGGGAGGAAUUAGCAUCUGCAGUCAAUAGGCAGCAGCAACAUCCACCUGCUGCUUCCACUGCUGGUACCACUUCUGAAGUUCACCACACGGCAGAUGUUGCGGGUCCUGCUGCAGAACUGAGCGGAACAGAGAUGAUCAUAGCAAGUCUUCUAGCAGGGGCAACAGCUGGAGCAGCUGCUAAAACAACAAUAGCACCACUUGAUAGGACCAAAAUUAAUUUUCAGAUAUCUGAGAAGCCAUAUUCAGUCAAAGAGGCUAUAAAGUUCUUGAAGCGAACUUACAAGAAUGAGGGAGCACUCAGUUUAUGGCGUGGAAAUUCUGCCACUAUGGCCCGAAUAGUACCUUAUGCUGCAAUCCAGUUUACUGCACAUGAACAAUGGAAAAAAAUACUUAAAAUAGAUGUUGACAAGGACAAAAAACCUCCACCAGUUGUGAGACUGCUAGCUGGAUCACUAGCAGGUGUGACAUCUCAGUCCUUGACCUAUCCACUUGAUCUGGCUAGAGCACGUAUGGCUGUAACGCACAAGGAACAAUAUCGCACUUUAAGGCAGGUGUUUGUCAAGAUUUGGACUGAAGAAGGCCCAAGGACAUUUUAUCGUGGUUAUGUGCCAACAAUAAUGGGAGUCAUCCCAUAUGCUGGUGUGAGUUUCUUCACGUAUGAUUCCUUAAAAAGGAAAUACAUGGAGUAUACAGGCAGCUCCAGUCCUAAUGCCAUAGCAAGCUUGUUGUUUGGUGCAGUUGCUGGAAUGCUGGGUCAGUCAUCUUCAUAUCCACUCGACAUUGUUCGGAGAAGAAUGCAGACGUCUUCAUUAACUAAUACUCAGUAUCAAACAAUUUUGGGAACACUCCAAAAAAUAUACAGGGAAGAGGGAAUACGCCAGGGUUUUUUCAAGGGGUUAAGUAUGAACUGGAUCAAAGGACCUGUUGCUGUAGGAAUAAGUUUCGCUACCUACGAUUCAGCAAAAGAUUUUCUGAAGCAAUUAUUGCUAAUUAGACAUAGAUGAAACAUUAAAACUUGGAUGACAAGCAGUAGCUUGUACACCACUAGAGGAACCAGCCCUAACAGGUACCUCAUCACAGGUCUGUGCAAUAAUUUUUUUUUUGAGUGUUAUUUACUUUUUCCCUGUCUAAUUCUUCUAACAAACUCACAGCCAACAUCUGUGUAUCAUGUCUGGUAGAAGAUAAUAAACUCUAGAACAGUUCUAUUGGUUUAUAUCUUAAUAUGCAAUGGUAUACAACAACCGUCUGAAACACAUUUGAUGUACCACUAGACUGGUCUGCUAUAAUGCCUAAAAAUUCUGAUUCCAUUCUUUGUGAUGAAAUUUCUUCUUGGUAUUCCUCCAACAUAAUUUGCAAAAGUUCAUUUUGUUUUGGAUGCUCCUUUGAAAACAGAUGCCUUAUCCAAAUGGUCUUUAUACUGCAUCCAUUUUAGUGCUAAAAUUAAUCUGUUCUCUGAAAAAUCCAGGGUUUGAUGACAAUUCAGUUUUAUCAUGAUCCCAUAAGGCCAAUUCAAACAAACCACAGAGAUGAAUAAAAUUGAAACUUCCUGGCAGAUUAAAACUGUGUGUCCGACCGAGACUCGAACUUGGGACCUUUGCCUUUCGCAGGCAAGUGCUCUACCAACUGAGCUACCGAAGCACGACUCACGCCUGGUACUCACAGCUUUACUUCUGCCAGUACCUCGUCUCCUAUCUUCCAAACUUUACACAAGCUCUCCUGCGAACCUUGCAGAACUAGCACUCCUGAAAGAAAGGAUAUUGCGGAGACAUGGCUUAGCCACAGCCUGGGGGACGUUUCCAGAAUGAGAUUUUCACUCUGCAGUGGAGUGUGCGCUGAUAUGAAACUUCCUGGCAGAUUAAAACUGUGUGCCCGACCGAGACUCGAACAAAAUUAUUGUCGUUGUUGUUGAUACAUUAGUAUUGGUAAUAUUGUGGUGAUAGAAUGGCAUACUCUAGUGGCUUGGGAUACCAGAUUCAUGGUACAGGAACAGAGAAAGCUGGGAGAAAUGUUCUCUCUAGAGUGGUGAUAUGUGACAAGAUAUUGGGAUCUGCUUCUAGUUGGGGUGUUUGAAUGCCAACUGCUGCACCCUACUACAUCACUGGUGAGCACUUUAGCUGGGCUUUGACUCAUCCAUGCUCGAAGUACAAUGGGCUGCACUGUCCAGCUGGGAGUUGUUGUAAGAGUGUAAAUCCCUUUGAGUUUGUUCCAAGCUCAGCAGUGGCACAAGGCAGUAGGAAACACAUAGCUGAUUAUAACAUAUUUCACAGUAUAUAUUAGGGUUCCUAAACAAAAAAAAGUAAGAACAGGGGACAGAUGAAGUGUAAAAUUACUGGGAAUUGUGCAACAUUGCAAUGAUAUCACACACUGCCAUAAUUGAUGUCACAAAAACUGAUUUCCUGUUCUUAUCUUGGAGCUCUUGUCAUAGUCUGAAAAGUUUUGGAUACAAUAAUGUGUGUUAUAUUUUGAAAGCAUUGCCUUCUAGAUGGCUUACUAUAUCCUAUUACUGAUGCUAUAUUGAAAAUUCACUCGUGAGAUUAAGAAUUCUGAGAGAACUGGUGGUGAGGUGAAGACUCUCCUUUACUAGAAUAAUGCUGAUGCCACUACACUGGAAGGACUUAAGUGCCUGUGAUUUGGCAAUGGAUAAGUCAGUAUAGAAUUGACAGUUCCUGAAAGCUAUUCUGGAUGUAAGAUGUUCUAAAAUUUGUGCAAAGGCAAGGCAGUAGUGAUUCAAUGAAUUAGUACCUUGGAUGAAACUAUUCUAAUCAUGGCUCAGUGUCAAGUUUACUAUCUGAAAGAUUUGAAGGUGGAGUAAAAUUCUGUGUAAAAAGGGUAAGGCUCUUUUUCUUUUUUUUUUUUUUUGAAUAAAUUAACAGAAUUUUCAAAACGGAUAGAUUUCUUUUCUCAUUUCUCUUAAACAAUGAGAAUUGUGUCCUCCAUUAAUGAGCUACAAUACUGAUAAUACAAAUUGAAGAAAUAUAAUAAUAAAUAUAUACAGAAGCCCUGGAAGUUAAUAUUUCAAAUCACAAUUGAAAUAAUCUAUUGUAGGGGAUCAUACAGGAAAAAUAAUUUUUUAAUAUUUAAUCACUUGUUAUUUUUUUUUCCUUAAACUUGCUCAUAAAAUGACCUUUAUCCAGUGAACUAAUAAGGAAAGUUGUGCCAGUAUGCAAAUAAUUUAUGAGUGAAGAACACUUACCAAGUAGCAGAGUUAUUGAGUUGUCACAGGCACACACACAAAAGAGAGAGAAAACUUUCUAACUUUCAGAAAUAAUCAUUUGCUGAGCUUUUAUUCGAUAAGUUAGCAAUUUCUCUCUUUUUGUGUGUGUCUGUCAAUGAAUCAAUGGUUCUGUUAUUGAAUGAGUGGUCUCCUUUACUCUUUAGUUAUUUACAUAUUUACAAUGAAAUACGUACAUGUUUGAAAGUAAUGUUUCCAUUUACAAUCCAUUGCAUGUGUCUCUGUUCCCGGUGCUCUAAUUAUUUUAGCUUUCUGUUAAGAUUUUAAUACUUUCAUUUACAUAAUUUAUAAGACGCUGUAGUCUCAGAAGUUGUUUAUUACCUGUUUUAGUGUGUAUAAGUAAACUGAUUGGCAGGCCAUCCGUAAACACCUUGUGGGGGAAAAUGUGACCUACAUGCAGUACAUUGCUGAUCCCUGUGUUAAGAUGCUGUGUUGAGGCCUGAAUAUUUUUACAGCUGUAAACACAUAGAUAGCAAAUAUUGCUCUAUGCUGGUUCAUAACAGACUAAAACUGUGCAUGAAAAUGUUUGAUAUGCUUCUGACAGUUUUUUCUUGCUGCAUGCAAAGGUCACAAAACACAGGCACACUAGUCUUGAGAGUUGUGCCAUUAUAAGAUAAAUUAUGAAGGGAGAAAAUGCUGGGAGUUUCAGAAAUGUUAAUAGCCAUGGAACUAACAUGCUCUGAAAUCAUGCUUACAGUAUCAUUCAUGGGAAUAUAAUCAAACUGAAACAUAAAAGUAAUUGAAAGUGACAGUUUCCAUUGUCUCAAAGUAUUUCUAUCAACUUGCUGUGAAGGUGAAGGAAAUUGUGUCAGUGCCUGAAACAAACCAAAUGUAUAUUAUUGUUAUAGUAUUUUGUAUAUUAAUUUUGUUGAUUUUUAUAAAAGUCUACUGUUAAAUGUCAAUUAAACUGAACGUCUAAUGCAGAAAAAAGAUCCCACAAAA
Schistocerca gregaria is the source of this 4277-nucleotide RNA transcript. It is a transcript of the gene named mitochondrial coenzyme A transporter SLC25A42, with no coding region annotated. The transcript is spliced from 10 exons. Lineage: Eukaryota; Metazoa; Arthropoda; Insecta; Orthoptera; Acrididae. The record is from RefSeq and is a predicted model, not a curated record.